This 293-nucleotide ribosomal RNA is filed under the name uncultured bacterium. RNAcentral's name for it is "partial 16S ribosomal RNA". It matches the Rfam family "Bacterial small subunit ribosomal RNA", at positions 775 to 1067 of the family's 1533-position model. The record is from RNAcentral.
GGAUUAGAUACCCUGGUAGUCCACGCCGUAAACGAUGAGUGCUAGCUGACGGGUUUUCGGACUCGGUGGCAAAGCUAACGCAUUAAGCACUCCGCCUGGGAAGUACGGUCGCAAGAUUAAAACUCAAAGGAAUUGACGGGGACCCGCACAAGCGGUGGAGCAUGUCGUUUAAUUCGAAGCAACGCGAAGAACCUUACCUAGACUUGACAUGCCUGUCAUACUCUCCCGAAAAGGAGAGGUCAUUUCGGAUGGACAGUGCACAGAUGUUGCAUGGCUGUCGUCAGCUCGUGCCG